CCUACGGGGUGCAGCAGUGAGGAAUAUUGCUCAAUGGACGAGAGUCUGAACCAGCCAAGUAGCGUGAAGGAUGACUGCCCUCUGGUUUUUAAACUUCUUUUAUAUGGGAAUAAAAUGUUCCACGUGUGGGAUUUUGUAUGUACCAUAUUAAUCCGGAUCGGCUAACUCCGUUCCAGCAGCCGCGGUAAUACGGAGUAUCCGAGCGUUAUCCGGAUUUAUUGGGUUUAAAGGGUGCGUAGGUGGAUUGUUAAGUCAGAUGUGAAAUUUUGCGGCUAAACCGUAAAAUUGCAGUUGAAACUGGCAGUCUAGAGUACAGUAGAGGUGGGCGGAAUUCGUGGUGUAGCGGUGAAAUGCUUAGAGAUCAAGAAGAACUCUGAUUGCGAAGGCAGUUCACUGGACCGCAACUGACACUGAGGCUCGAAAGUGUGGGUAUCAAACAGGAUUAGAUACCCUGGUAGUC
Molecule: ribosomal RNA, 460 nt
Filed under: uncultured bacterium
Lineage: Bacteria
Description: partial 16S ribosomal RNA
Rfam family: Bacterial small subunit ribosomal RNA
Source: RNAcentral